GGGUGGGGGGGUGGGGAUAAGCCACUGGUUGAACCAUGACUUUUAUGUUAUGCUCAGCUAGUACCCUAGGGCUGUAUUAUUGCUUUGAAUUGCCAUGGCUUAUAGACUGACUAGUGCGUGAGGCUUUUGUUUGACGGCAACCUCGGUCCUUUUGAGUCGUAUUUAUUUAUUUAUUAAUUUAUUAAUUCUUGUUCCUUCACAAUGUUAUAAAAUUGUGUCAGAGAGCCUGAGUGUGCUGUUUUCUGUUCUCGUUCUCCCGCCCUCUAUGAGACUCCGUUCAGCCCGACGGGGGCGCCGCGGCUCCACUUUUUUUUCUUUUCUUUUUCUUCUUUUUUUUUUUUUUUUUGAAAGAGCGCUGUGUGAAAAGAGAAGCCGCUUUUUUUGUGGCGAAACUAAAAGCUCCCCCCAAAACCCGAAACUGACCAAUGAAUAAAAAAAACAACUUCUCCGUGAGGUAAAUACCGGCAUGAGGUUUUAACCGAGCCCAGCUGGGACGCGUGUUGUUGGGGGGUAGUUCUCGCCUGGUACUUUGGGAUGUUCGGAUCUUCACCGUGUCGCCAAGUUGCUUCGUGAGGGACGGUUUUCUUUCCUUUUCUUUAAAAAAAAUAAUAAAAAUUAUCGGCAUUCACAAAGCAAGGAUGCCAGUCGAGUUGGAGUUGUAAAGCCAAACAAAGGCCAGUAGAGGACCGUGUGGAAAAUUCGCGUUAGCGGUACAGCGGUAUGGAGUUCCCGCAACACCAGAAGCCGCCGGGGGACGGCAAGAUCAUUUACCCGCCCGGAGUGAAGGAGAUCACGGACAAAAUCAGCAACGAUGAAGUGGUGAAACGGUUAAAGGUAAGAACGUUGUCAUGCUCCUCGUCUUGUCAAAUCUGUAUUGGAGUGAGUUUCGCGUGCACAAGAACUCACAAACUGGACCUGUUUAUCAUCAAGGGAUCUGCAGGUGAGGCAAGGAUCCAGUCCAGGCAUCUGGAUCCUGAAGUGUAAACAAACAUCUGGCCAUUCAGAAAGACUGCUCCUGAUGUGUUGUCUUUGCUUCUUUACAUUUACGGCAUUUAGCAGACACCGUUAUCCAGAGUGACUUAUCUUAUAUCUUUAUACAUCUGAGCAAAUGACGGUUAAGGGCCUUGCUCAAGGGCCCAACAAUGACAGCUUGGUGGUGCUGGGGUUUGAACCCCCGAUCAGUAACCCAAUAUUAUUGUUUUUAUGAACUUAAUAAGACAGUGGGGGGGGUACUGAGCGUCACGUUGUCGUUGAGAAACCCGGAAAGCUGAACGUCCACCGUUUUUGAUUUUUCCCUCUUGAAGGAAAAUUGACCAACUGUCACAAAGCACUGAGCCUGGAGACUCCUUCCAUAAGCGUUUCAUAAAGAUUUUAUAAAAUCUCACAGCAAACAGAAAACUUCGCCAUCCAAAUGUCAAGAUUGUAAAGUUUUUGAAAUUCGUUUAUCAUCAGUCGUAUCUGUAGCGUCCACUGUGCGAGGCCUCGUGUAAAUCGCUCCUAUAGAAAGGAGCGUUCGUGUAUUAGGAGUAUUAAGACAAGGGCUUUAAUGCAAAAUGUUUGAAUGACAGAAAAACGAUUAACACUUUCUGACUGAGCAGAGCGCAUCGCCGAUGUAGCGUGAUAAAGCAAUAUCUCACGAGCAAAAGAGUCAAACUAAGUCAAUAUCUUGGGGAAUAACGCCAUGAAAACUGGGGCACUGAACUGCACACCGCGUCUGGUGCGAGGAGGAGAUUCCUGACGCAGACAUUCGCUCUGCUUCUGUCCUCGCGUCUGCUCGAGGCCUGUCAAAUCAUCAUCUGAACUUUGAAUAUUCGUCAAGUCAAACGGCGCUCUAAAACACAGACACUGACUGACUAAAGCGUAAAGAAUUCACAAUACUGGAUUACAAUAGCGUCUUAUUGUAAUGUUAUUAUUUCAGAUCACAUGUUUUUGUUCAUGCAUGUUUAAGUUAAUAUUUAAAACGGGUGAGUAUUUGGUUUAAUUUUUGCCUUUUCUCGUCAACUAAAAUGCCGUCGAUUCACGUUCACCACCGUUGUAGUGAGUAAAAUGGAUAAAUAUGACCUGACGAAAACGUCCUUUAAAUUUAGUCGCUAUUUCGUCAGAAAGACAAAAGAUAUGCUGUGUUAUCAGUGGCAUAAAAUUGUUUCAAAGUGACGAGGAUAUUGUUUGAGUAUUAUUUCUGGGACAGUAUAUCGUCCAAUAAAAUGUUCUCGUGACAGGCCUAAGUAACAGCUCAGUCACAGGGACUUCAGUGAUGGACUGUCCACAUAAUCUAAAACUAGUAAUAAACAGAUUUUUUUUUUUUUUAAACGUGGUGUUUAAUAAAGUAAAAUGUAAAAUCGUGACUUUUACUAGAGGUCGACCGAUAUUGGAUACCCAUAACGAAGUUGUUCAGUACCUACCUACUGAUAACCGAUGCUGAAUGAAAACAUAACACUCAAACUAAAACAUUGAACUUUAUUACAAAAGUAAACAGUGCUGACUGGACCAUGAAAAUGUACACUACUUUUAAAAUGAAAUGUAUAUUAAUAUAUGCCUGAUUAUUAAAUUAAUUAAUAAGAUGUACAUCCAAGUGUAACCGAAAAGUACUACUCCAAAUAUAAUCGUUGGCAGCUCACCGUGGUAUAAGUUUUUAUUUUGCUUCUUUGCUCCAUCAAUGAUCAUGGUUCCUAAAGAAACCACAGCCGGUUGCCAUGAUAACGCACAGUCUGACUGCCAGCCCAUAAUAAGUGUGGUCACGGUUUCAAUGUAAAGAACUAUUGCCAGAACAAGCAGAGUGAUGCAAACAGUGAAAUGUACCGUGUGGUUAUGCUUAAUAUCUGCACUCUUGGAACGCCUCUUGUCCAAUCAAAUUAGUGGAAGCUGUUUUUGUUUUUUUGGAAAGAGUAUAAUUAUUUAUGGUCCUUCGCAUAUGAGAGAAAGCGGUUUCCUUUUAAGUUUCAUGCAUUGUGGAUUCUUUGCUAACGUGUGUGUGUGUCGCAUAUACUGUGCAUAGUGCAAAAAGUUACAGUGAAAAAUAAACACCAGAACGACAUGACUUUUUUUUCUCUUUCCAGUUUUUCCGGUAAACUUUCAUUCCCGGACACGUUGGCCGUCACUAAAAUUUCUUGGCGGAAGCUCUGCUAUAUAUUUAUAUAGUCACUGUAGAAAUUCCGGCUUGCUGCGAGCAUGCUGAUUUUCUAGCUCACGAAUGGCUCGUGAGCCAAUACCGUCUUUGUAUACACCUCAGUUAGUAGUGUUGCCUGUGCAACCAGCCAGUGGUAAAUCUGGAAAGGAGAACACGGUGUAACUGUGCUAAACCCGUAACUGUGCUAAACCCGUACCUGUGCUAGUGCUUUCUACCUUGGGGUUUGCGAACGUUGAGUCACGUGCCAUAGUUAGACGGACACGUGCCUUAUUAAUAAUUCGGUUUGCGUUUUGGCUGUCAAAAUACCAGCAACGCUCCUUCACUGUCACAUCAUCAAAACAGAAGAACAUUUACAACCCCUGGUAAAGAUGAUGGAAUCACCACGCUUGAAGGAUGUUCACCCAGUUUUUUUUUGUUUGUUUUUUAAUAAACAAAUCAGAUGUGACCCAAAACCAUUUCCGAUCAAAUAGAGGAAAAAAUUAUGGAAUGAUCAAUAAAGAACAAAUCACAAUGCUCCUCCUUGGGCAUUGAAUUCUUUGAUGCAUGGAUUUCACUAAUGAAAAACAAUGUUCCCCAUCAAGCUGGUUCCAGCUUUCUCCAAUAGCGGUCGACAGAUCUGCUUUGCAGGAUAGAGCCUUGUCAUAGACCCGUUUAUAAAUUUUAUUUAUUUAUUUUUUUUAAAAUUCCACCAUAAACUUUCGAUCGGAUUUAGAUCUGGACUGUUUGCUGGCCAUUUCAUUGAGUUGAUCUGCCUUUCCUGAAGAAAAGCUUUAACAACCUUGCUCUGUGGCCAGAUUCAUUAUCACACAGAUUAAUGACUUCACCACCAAACCUAUUGUCUGUCAGUGGAAUGAGCAAAGUGUCCAAAACUUCAAUGUACUCCUGGGCAUUGACUGUUUAGGCUGUGGCUCAGGUGGUAGAGCGGGUUGUCGGUUGUCCACUAAUAUUAGGGUUGGCAGUUUGAUUCCCGGCCAACGUGACUCUACGUGCCGAAGUGCCCUUGGUGGACGCUGAACCCCAAGUUGCUCCCUAUGGCAAGUUAGCACCUUGGUAGCAUAUAUCUCCUUUCAGUGAGUUUUCUGAAUAAGGUGUUUACAGGCAUAUUCCAGGGCUGGAAAUUUUUGUUCAGUGUUCUGAUGGUGGACUCAUGAACAUUAACAUUAGCCAAUGUGAGAGAGGCCUUCAGUUGCUUAGAAGUUACCCAGGGUUCCUCUGUGACCUCGUGGACUAUUACACGUCUUGCUCUUGGAGUGAUCUUUGUUGGUCUUCACUCCUGGUGAGGGUAACAACGGUCUUGAAUUUCCUCCAUUUGUACACACUGGCUGAGGGUUGUUGGAGUCUAAACUCUGUAGAGAUGGUUUUUAUAACCUUUUCCAGUCUGAUGACCAUCAACAACUCUUUCUGAUGUCCUCGGAAAUCUCCUUUGUUCAUGCCAUGAUACACUUCCACAAACAUGUGUUGUGAAGAUCAGACUUUGAUAGAUCCGUGUUCUUUAAAUAAAACAGGGCGCUCACUCACACCUGAUCGUCAUCCCAUUGAUUGAAAUCACCUGACUCUAAUUUCACCUUCAAAUUAAACUGCUAAUCCUAGAGGUUCACGCACUUUGCCACUCACAGAUAUUUAAUAUUGGAUCAUUUUCCUCAAUAAAUAAAUAAGCAAGUGUAAUAUUUUUAUCUGCUUUUCAUCCCCUCAGUCAACCGAACAAGUGUGUAAAUGCUGCAAAGAAGCCAUUAUGAUGACGAGUAACUCUGCACAUCAUCUGCUUCUCUCAACUCGCCGAUCUCACAAACCGCCAUCUUUUAUUGAUCCCGCAAAAUGACUUAAACCUGAAACUGCUACCGUAGAGCCCUGCAGACUUAAUUUGCAUUUUCACACUUGUCAGUAUUUAUUUUAGAAAACAAAUUACAAGGUGAUUCCCAUCAUUGUUUUUCCUCUACUUGAGUUGGGGGAGGUGUGCUAUUGAUUAAAACAAUUUAAUUUAGUUAGUUUGAGGUAUGUUUCACAAAGCUAGAUUGUUCAGCUGUUAAGCAAAAUAGUUUUGUGUCAUGUGAUUUUCUUUAUUUGCUACCUGGGUGAACAUCCUCGAAGUGUGGUGGUUUCCAUAAUUCUUUGCCAGUUAUCUAUGCACACUCUGUACAGAUAACGGCAAAGAAAGGUUUAAAAUGUUAAAAGAAGCUAAUCAGAAGACUUUAAUAAGGAAUCGUGCAGGACAGGACCAGUGUACUUGUGGACGGAGGUCAGUCGCGUGUAGAAAUAGCGCGGCGACUCUGGUCACUCAAAUGCUACGGGUGACGCUUACCUCACUGAAGUGAUCAUCAGUACUUCCUGUCGUAAACUUAUCGUUCCUUCAUUUGUUAGGCAGUUUUUCUAUAAGUAGAUCAGAUUUCUAAAUCUACAAGUAGGUGUCUUUAAAUGUAAUUGGAAUGAAAUCUUCACCUUCUGGAAGUGCAAAAGAGAAACUUGAUUCAGUUCCGGAAAUCUUAUAAGUUUCAGAAAUAUACAAAGUAGAAAACUCUGUACGUUUACAUGGACAGCAAUAAUCCGAUAUUAAGACGAUACUCUGAUUAAGAAACUAGCAUGUAAACAGAGAUUACUGACGACCUUAAUCCGAUUAAAGUCAUACUCGAAGUAAACACAAAUGGAGUUAAGACGUGUGGAGUAUUCCUGUUUUAGUCUCGUUACAGACACGUACACACCUUUAAUUAACGUCGUGUGGGAGUUUUCACCGCAUUGUGCGACAGGACACGUACACACACGGCAGCGCUCGACCGUUUGACGGCGAACAAGAGAGAACGGCUGCGUCCCAAACCGCGUACUUACCUGCUGUAUAGUAGGAGAAAUACAUGUACCUCGGCUACUAUAUAGACAGUAAGUACGCGGUUUGGGACGCGGCCCACGGCUUCAAGCAAUCGUCUGUUUACACGUACAGCACGACAAAUAAUUAACCG
Molecule: long non-coding RNA, 6075 nt
Organism: Ictalurus punctatus (channel catfish)
Lineage: Eukaryota; Metazoa; Chordata; Actinopteri; Siluriformes; Ictaluridae
Source: Ensembl